Molecule: ribosomal RNA, 336 nt
Filed under: uncultured bacterium
Lineage: Bacteria
Description: bacterial SSU rRNA
Rfam family: Bacterial small subunit ribosomal RNA
Source: RNAcentral
AAUGAACGCUAGUAGUAUGCUUAACACAUGCAAGUCGAACGAAAGUUUUACACUUUCGUGGCGUACGGGUGAGUAAAUGCAGAAUUCUUCCUUCCAGUUCAGUACAAAAAUUGCUUCUAGUAAUAAAUUCUGAAUAUUUUAAAGGUUUAAUUCCGCUGAAAGAUGAAAUCUGCUUAAAGAUUAGGUUGUUGGUAAUUUAAAAAGCUUACCAAAGCCGAUGAUCUUUAGUUGGUCUGAGAGGAUGAUCAACCACACUGGAACUGAAACAAGGUCCAGGCUAAUUCGUUGGCCAGCAGUGAGGAAUAUUGGAGUCAAUGAACGAAAGUUUGAUCCAGC